This 71-nucleotide transfer RNA is filed under the name Candidatus Flexifilum breve. RNAcentral's name for it is "tRNA-Cys". It matches the Rfam family "tRNA". Rfam says of the family: Transfer RNA (tRNA) molecules are approximately 80 nucleotides in length. Their secondary structure includes four short double-helical elements and three loops (D, anti-codon, and T loops). Further hydrogen bonds mediate the characteristic L-shaped molecular structure. tRNAs have two regions of fundamental functional importance: the anti-codon, which is responsible for specific mRNA codon recognition, and the 3' end, to which the tRNAs corresponding amino acid is attached (by aminoacyl-tRNA synthetases). tRNAs cope with the degeneracy of the genetic code in two manners: having more than one tRNA (with a specific anti-codon) for a particular amino acid; and 'wobble' base-pairing, i.e. permitting non-standard base-pairing at the 3rd anti-codon position. The record is from RNAcentral. Lineage: Bacteria; Bacillati; Chloroflexota; Anaerolineae; Aggregatilineales; Candidatus Flexifilaceae.
GACCCGGUGGCUGAACGGCUAGGCAGCGGUCUGCAAAAUCGUGUGAACGGGUUCGACUCCCGUCCGGGUCU